Molecule: ribosomal RNA, 433 nt
Filed under: uncultured bacterium
Lineage: Bacteria
Description: partial 16S ribosomal RNA
Rfam family: Bacterial small subunit ribosomal RNA
Source: RNAcentral
AACGAACGCUGGCGGCAGGCCUAACACAUGCAAGUCGAGCGAGGACUUCGGUUCUAGCGGCGGACGGGGGAGUAACGCGUGGGAAUGUGCCCUUCUCUACGGAAUAGCCCUGGGAAACUGGGAGUAAUACCGUAUACGCCCUAUUGGGGAAAGAUUUAUCGGAGAAGGAUCAGCCCGCGUUGGAUUAGGUAGUUGGUGGGGGAAUGGCCCACCAAGCCGACGAUCCAUAGCUGGUUUGAGAGGAUGAUCAGCCACACUGGGAGUGAGACACGGCCCAGACUCCUACGGGAGGCAGCAGUGGUGAAUCUUAGACAAUGGGGGCAACCCUGAUCUAGCCAUGCCGCGUGAGUGAUGAAGGCCUUAGGGUUGUAAAUCUCUUUCAGCUGGGAAGAUAAUGACGGUACCAGCAGAAGAAGCCCCGGCUAACUCCGUG